AACUUAAAGGAAUUGACGGGACCCCGCACAAGCGGUGGAUCAUGUUGUUUAAUUCGAUGAUACGCGAAGAACCUUACCAGGUCUUGACAUCCCCCCGCGAUGCUUUAGAGAUAAAGCGGAGGUAUUCGGGGAGACAGGUGGUGCAUGGUUGUCGUCAGCUCGUGUCGUGAGAUGUUGGGUUAAGUCCCGCAACGAGCGCAACCCUUGCCCUUAGUUACCAGCACGUUAUGGUGGGCACUCUAAGGAGACUGCCGGUGACAAACCGGAGGAAGGUGGGGAUGACGUCAAGUCAUCAUGGCCCUUACGGCCUGGGCUACACACGUGCUACAAUGGUCGGUACAAAGGGUUGCCAAGCCGCGAGGUGGAGCUAAUCCCAUAAAACCGAUCGUAGUCCGGAUCGCAGUCUGCAACUCGACUGCGUGAAGUCGGAAUCGCUAGUAAUCGUGAAUCAGAAUGUCACGGUGAAUACGUUCCCGGGCCUU
This 482-nucleotide ribosomal RNA is filed under the name uncultured Pseudomonas sp. RNAcentral describes it as "bacterial SSU rRNA". It matches the Rfam family "Bacterial small subunit ribosomal RNA", at positions 898 to 1382 of the family's 1533-position model. The record is from RNAcentral. Lineage: Bacteria; Pseudomonadati; Pseudomonadota; Gammaproteobacteria; Pseudomonadales; Pseudomonadaceae.